UCUACCUUUUAGGUUCAUAUUAUUUCAAGUGUGUAAAUCUCAAGAUUGAUAACUGCCUUUAGCUCCGGUAUUUGCGAUCCAUUGCACAGUUGCUGAUAAAACACCCAGAAAAUUAGGUGAAUGCAGAAGAGAGGUAUAAAAGGAAAAGAAGGGGAAGGAAUCUUUACCAGCACUGGAGGUAGGAGGUCUGGACUGUAUGCUGAGAAGAGAUGCAGAUGACAGCUUCCUACUUUUAAAAAUUCCCACAUGAGACUUCCUAGAUCCCUGGGAGGUGUCCAUAGGUGGGCAGCAGGGUAUGAAAUCAAGGCUUAGGUGCAAAGCCAUUGGAUACCAUACCUGAGACCACACAGCCACAGGGAAAUGGCCUCACCAGAAGCUGGGAAGGUGCUUUGGAGCAGUGGUCCUUUCAGAAGAAGGUUUGGGUGUUUUAGAUGGGAACUAGGUCUCAGAGCAGAU
RNAcentral lists this long non-coding RNA (456 nucleotides) under Homo sapiens (human). Its description in RNAcentral is "HSALNT0306472". Lineage: Eukaryota; Metazoa; Chordata; Mammalia; Primates; Hominidae. The record is from RNAcentral.